RNAcentral lists this long non-coding RNA (1890 nucleotides) under Homo sapiens (human). Its description in RNAcentral is "HSALNT0394308". Lineage: Eukaryota; Metazoa; Chordata; Mammalia; Primates; Hominidae. The record is from RNAcentral.
GAGGUCCAGCUGGGCAUGGCCCCGGGCGUGGGUGGGGAGACGAGAGAAAGGAGCGUGGGACGGAAAAGGCGAACCCGGCGAGGCCCCCAAGUCCACCGCGAAGGGGUCUGGGAGGAGCCGAGGGUCGACCAGAUGUGAAGAUGGGUCACCUUGCGAAAACCCACGCUUUUCCGCCCGUCUUGCCUGGUAAAAAGUGUGAAGUUUCUCGGGCGACCCAGUCCGGUGGUGUUCACGUUACUUGGGCUGUAUUCGUGGAACACCAGGCUGGCGUGGCACCAGAAACCUCAGUGAGGUGGUAAAAGGUCGGGCUCGAGGAGUUGUGGGUUCGCUGUUGGGUACGGAAAGCUUCGAGAUUGCAAGUUUGCGCCGCCGAGUGUCUUCUAAAAGCGUUCAGCCUCCCUUACAAGAACUUGUUCAGAUGGAGAAAAGAACAGAAAUGGAGGCCUGUAGACAGAGCUCACUGGGGAGGGAAGGGGUGUUCAAAUGGUCGGUAUCACCGCCAUCCCCUGCCCCUCCGCUGUUGAGAAACUUAGCUUUGGAAAAGCAGCCCAACUCACUGCCGCCUAUCUUAACUGUAUUUCUCUCGGUACGUUUCAACUCUCGGAAAGACACACUGACACACUGGCUGUCUUUUAAAACUGUUCAGUGUGCAGGAUGAAGAAAAAAUGGACACUAAGUAUUAUAUUUCCCCACGGGAGAGAAUCUGUCCUAAGUAAGUAAAACAGGGCAAAUCAUUUCAUUUUCUUGUUUGCUUUGAAGGAGCUAAACUUUCAUCCUUAAGAUUAAAUUAUCCAUUUCUGCCAUUUUAUGUAUUACCUGAAGCCAUAAUUUUCUAUUUGACAUCUCUUAAUUGAUUUUGGAAAUAAUUAUGUCACAGAUGGAGACAUUUAUGACUUCAGCUCUGAAGCAAAGAGCAGGACAAAUGGAAUUCUGAGUCACAUAGACUAGCAACUCAUGUAGAUGGCCUCUGAGUUCCAGUGUUUUUCUAAAACACAAACUACCGCUUUUGAUACUGAUGAAAGUUGGCAGAGUGUUUGACCUCGAAUUUAUACUCCCCAGUAGCAUAUGGUCAUUUGUAAAUGUUAAAUUGGCCUUGUUUUUUAAAGCAUUGCAUCUGUUGUGAAACAACAAUACUGUAAAAUAAAGCCAGGAACUGAAGAGGCUUGUUGAUAUAAUCAAAGAAGUUUUAGAAUAUGGACAUCAAAAAUAAACCUGACAACAGAUUUUAAGACCUAAUUUUAUAAACUUAGAACGUCUCUGUUUUUAAGUAUAGUACCUGCAAGACAUAUUAACAGUGAUUAACAGGUCUAAUUUUAGUCAGCAGGUUUUGUUCCAAUUUGUACAGUCAUUUAUAUCCAUUUAGACUAAAAAGUGAAUUAAAAUAGAACUGUAUACCCAUUCUUAAUACAUUAUAAAUUAAUACUAAAUGUCAUAAAUUCAGUUGUUUAGAGACUUGUAACCCAAGAUUUUGUAUUACUAUUAGGAUAAAUGUGUAUCUUUCAUUAGACUUUAAUUAAUGGUCUAUGUGUGUUCUCUAGCCACAUAGUCUAGAAAAGUCGUCUCUAGCUUCUUUUUAUUGUACACCCUGUCCAAAAAAAAUGUGCAUACUCCCAAUAUCUGGAUAUUUAUGUAUGAAUAGUAAGUGUGCUUAAUAUAUUACACAUUAUAAAACAAAAUUCUUUAUUAACAAUUAAUACUUUACACUGUUUCAAUUUGUCUUCCCAAUUUCUUAGGGUGGAACCACCCUUCAAGCUCUAACACAACUGAAAUAGGGUUUAUACGUCUGUGACCAGGAGAAAAAGAGAAAGCUUGGUCUUGCUGUACAUAAAUUUUCUCUUCAAGGAGAAGUACAUAUUUCAUGAGAAUAAAUAGUUUCAGAAUGAUGCUACA